Molecule: ribosomal RNA, 497 nt
Filed under: uncultured bacterium
Lineage: Bacteria
Description: partial 16S ribosomal RNA
Rfam family: Bacterial small subunit ribosomal RNA
Source: RNAcentral
GAUGAACGCUGGCGGCGUGCCUAAUACAUGCAAGUCGAGCGAACGGACGAGAAGCUUUCUUCUCUGAUGUUAGCGGCGGACGUGUGAGUAACACGUGCAUAACCUCCCUAUAAGACUGGGAUAACUUCGGGAAACCGGAGCUAAUACCGGAUAAUAUUUUGAACCUCAUGGUUCAAAAGUAAAAGACGGUCUUGCUGUCACUUAUAGAUGGAUCAGGGCUGCAUUAGCUAGUUGGUAAGGUAACGGCUUAACAAGGCAACGAUGCAUAGCCGACCUGAGAGGGUGAUGGGCGACACUGGAACUGAGAAACGGUACAGACUCCUACGGGAGGCAGCAGUAGGGAAUCUUCAGCAAUGGGCGAAAGCUUGAAGGAGCAACGCGGCGUGAGUGAUGAAGGUCUUCGGAUCGUAAAACUCUGUUAUUAGGGAAGAACAUAUGUGUAAGUAACUGUGCACAUCUUGACGGUACCUAAUCAGAAAGCCAAGGCUAACUACGUG